RNAcentral lists this transfer RNA (74 nucleotides) under Acidovorax sp. NO-1. Its description in RNAcentral is "Nocardioides sp. SLBN-35 tRNA-Thr". It matches the Rfam family "tRNA". From Rfam's summary of the family: Transfer RNA (tRNA) molecules are approximately 80 nucleotides in length. Their secondary structure includes four short double-helical elements and three loops (D, anti-codon, and T loops). Lineage: Bacteria; Pseudomonadati; Pseudomonadota; Betaproteobacteria; Burkholderiales; Comamonadaceae. The record is from RNAcentral.
GCCGCGUUAACUCAGUUGGCUAGAGUGCCGCCCUUGUAAUGCGGAUGCCGUCGGUUCGAAUCCGACACGCGGCU